GAUUGCAGGCUGCAACUCGCCUGCAUGAAGUCGGAAUUGCUAGUAAUCGCGGAUCAGCAUGCCGCGGUGAAUACGUUCCCGGGCCUUGUACACACCGCCCGUCACACCAUGAGAGUCGGGAACACCCGAAGUCCGUAGCCUAACUUUAACGAGGGGCGCGGCCGAAGGUGGGUUCGAUAAUUGGGGUGAAGUCGUAACAAGGUAAC
This 206-nucleotide ribosomal RNA is filed under the name uncultured bacterium. RNAcentral's name for it is "partial 16S ribosomal RNA". It matches the Rfam family "Bacterial small subunit ribosomal RNA", at positions 1296 to 1500 of the family's 1533-position model. The record is from RNAcentral.